Mya arenaria is the source of this 386-nucleotide long non-coding RNA. RefSeq lists it as uncharacterized. Lineage: Eukaryota; Metazoa; Mollusca; Bivalvia; Myida; Myidae. The record is from RefSeq and is a predicted model, not a curated record. The transcript is spliced from 3 exons.
AAAAGAUGAUGCAAGUCAAAUCAUACUUUUGGUAUUUAUCAAUGAGGAAGCGUGUUUAAUCAGAUGAGGAUGAAUAAAUGUCAGUGACAACACCACCAAGGCAUUCGAAGGUGACAGUGGCUAUGGCAGGACUGUUCUGCAGGCAUCACAACAGUUACUAUAAGAUCCCCAAACAUUUGCACCAUCUCUACAGAGGGUGUCGUGAAAUUCCGUCAAUUCUCACAACAUAGGUGCGAGCGAAAAAUGCCGCCUGGAUGAAGACAGCAUCGGACAGAGAUGGUGGGAGGGAAAUGAGGCAGGCGCAAAUAUCUGAGUGCAUCCUUGGAACACCGGGAUGAAAAAAACAAAACAAUAUUAUGUUAAAAACCCUUAAUGUUUAAUGCAGU